Molecule: ribosomal RNA, 253 nt
Filed under: uncultured bacterium
Lineage: Bacteria
Description: partial 16S ribosomal RNA
Rfam family: Bacterial small subunit ribosomal RNA
Source: RNAcentral
UACGUAGGAGACGAGCGUUGUCCGGAAUUACUGGGCGUAAAGCGCGUGUAGGCGGAUGAGCAAGUCUGCUGUGAAAGCUCCUGGCUUAACCGGGAGUGGUCGGUGGAAACUGCUCGUCUGGAGGACGGUAGAGGCUGGUGGAAUUCCCGGUGUAGUGGUGAAAUGCGUAGAGAUCGGGAGGAACACCUGUGGCGAAGGCGGCCAGCUGGGCCGGACCUGACGCUGAGACGCGAAGGCGUGGGGAGCGAACGGG